CGCAAGCCUGACGGAGCAAGACCGCGUGCGGGAUGACGGCCUAAUGGUUGUAAACCGCUUUUCUCUGGGAAGAAUGAUGACGGUACCAGAGGAAUCAGCCUCGGCUAACUCCGUGCCAGCAGCCGCGGUAAUACGGAGGAGGCAAGCGUUAUCCGGAAUUAUUGGGCGUAAAGCGUCCGUAGGUGGUUAUUCAAGUCUGCUGUCAAAGCGUGGGGCUUAACUCCAUAGAGGCAGUGGAAACUGGAUGACUUGAGUGCGGUAGGGGUCGAGGGAAUUCCCAGUGUAGCGGUGAAAUGCGUAGAUAUUGGGAAGAACACCAGUGGCGAAAGCGCUCGACUGGGCCUGCACUGACACUGAGGGACGAAAGCUAGGGGAGCG
Molecule: ribosomal RNA, 378 nt
Filed under: uncultured cyanobacterium
Lineage: Bacteria; Bacillati; Cyanobacteriota
Description: bacterial SSU rRNA
Rfam family: Bacterial small subunit ribosomal RNA
Source: RNAcentral